UACGUAGGGCGCAAGCGUUGUCCGGAAUUAUUGGGCGUAAAGAGCUCGUAGGCGGUCUGUCGCGUCGGUUGUGAAAACCCAAGGCUCAACCUUGGGCCUGCAAUCGAUACGGGCAGACUAGAGUCCGGAAGAGGAGAGUGGAAUUCCUGGUGUAGCGGUGAAAUGCGCAGAUAUCAGGAAGAACACCCGUGGCUAAGGCGGCUCUCUAGUACGGUACUGACGCUGAGACGCGAAAGCGUGAGGAGCGAACAGG
This 253-nucleotide ribosomal RNA is filed under the name uncultured bacterium. Its description in RNAcentral is "partial 16S ribosomal RNA". It matches the Rfam family "Bacterial small subunit ribosomal RNA", at positions 524 to 776 of the family's 1533-position model. The record is from RNAcentral.